This 465-nucleotide ribosomal RNA is filed under the name uncultured Klebsiella sp. RNAcentral's name for it is "bacterial SSU rRNA". It matches the Rfam family "Bacterial small subunit ribosomal RNA", at positions 338 to 795 of the family's 1533-position model. Lineage: Bacteria; Pseudomonadati; Pseudomonadota; Gammaproteobacteria; Enterobacterales; Enterobacteriaceae. The record is from RNAcentral.
CCUACGGGUGGCAGCAGUGGGGAAUAUUGCACAAUGGGCGCAAGCCUGAUGCAGCCAUGCCGCGUGUGUGAAGAAGGCCUUCGGGUUGUAAAGCACUUUCAGCGGGGAGGAAGGCGUUAAGGUUAAUAACCUUGGCGAUUGACGUUACCCGCAGAAGAAGCACCGGCUAACUCCGUGCCAGCAGCCGCGGUAAUACGGAGGGUGCAAGCGUUAAUCGGAAUUACUGGGCGUAAAGCGCACGCAGGCGGUCUGUCAAGUCGGAUGUGAAAUCCCCGGGCUCAACCUGGGAACUGCAUUCGAAACUGGCAGGCUAGAGUCUUGUAGAGGGGGGUGGAAUUCCAGGUGUAGCGGUGAAAUGCGUAGAGAUCUGGAGGAAUACCGGUGGCGAAGGCGGCCCCCUGGACAAAGACUGACGCUCAGGUGCGAAAGCGUGGGGAGCAAACAGGAUUAGAUACCCCGGUAGUC